Molecule: ribosomal RNA, 683 nt
Filed under: Cymatodera pallida
Lineage: Eukaryota; Metazoa; Arthropoda; Insecta; Coleoptera; Cleridae
Description: eukaryotic LSU rRNA
Rfam family: Eukaryotic large subunit ribosomal RNA
Source: RNAcentral
GUCUUGAAACACGGACCAAGGAGUCUAGCAUGUGCGCGAGUCAUUGGGAACAACUAAACCUAAAGGCGCAAUGAAAGUGAAGGUCCGCCUCGCGCGGACCGAGGGAAGAUGGGCGGACGUCCCUCACAAGCUGGCCCGCCCCGCACUCCCGGGGCGUCUCGUUCUCAUCGCGAGAAGAGGCGCACCAAGAGCGUACACGCUGGGACCCGAAAGAUGGUGAACUAUGCCUGGUCAGGACGAAGUCAGGGGAAACCCUGAUGGAGGUCCGUAGCGAUUCUGACGUGCAAAUCGAUCGUCGGAACUGGGUAUAGGGGCGAAAGACUAAUCGAACCAUCUAGUAGCUGGUUCCCUCCGAAGUUUCCCUCAGGAUAGCUGGCGCUCGUCGCCUACGAGUCUCAUCCGGUAAAGCGAAUGAUUAGAGGCAUUGGGGUCGAAACGGCCUCAACCUAUUCUCAAACUUUAAAUGGGUGAGAUCUCCGGCUUGCUCGAACUACUGAAGCCGCGAGACACGGAUCAGAGUGCCAAGUGGGCCAUUUUUGGUAAGCAGAACUGGCGCUGUGGGAUGAACCAAACGCCGAGUUAAAGCGCCUAAAUCGACGCUUAUGGGAUACCAUGAAAGGCGUUGGUAACUUAAGACAGCAGGACGGUGGCCAUGGAAGUCGGAAUCCGCUAAGGAGUGUUGU